GGUCGGACGAGGAAGAGGCCAAGACCCACCGGGAGGCGGUGCAGGGCGUCGUGGACGAGAUGGUGGCGCGAAUGCAGGGCAGGGUCGACGACGACGAAGCCGCUGCUGAGGAGGUUGCCGGAGAAGCCCCCGAUGCCGAGGAUGCCCCUGACACCGAAGUAGCCGCCCCUGGAGCACCUCCCGCGUAGUUCCCUUCGUUCUCUUUUUUCUUUUUCAUUUCCUUGCAAGUGGCGCGUGGCGCAUUAGAACUUUUUUUUACGUUAGCUUUCCCUUGUCAUUAUCAGAGUUACUCGUCAACUUAUUUUGCCCAAGCUUUAAUAUAUAUCCGAUGCUUUUUUCAUUUGCUUCUUUGCUUAAGACUAGCUUGUCGGGGAGGGGCUCUGUCCUUCCCGUGUUUUAGCCUUGCGUACCCGG
RNAcentral lists this long non-coding RNA (414 nucleotides) under Brachypodium distachyon (stiff brome). Its description in RNAcentral is "long non-coding RNA (BDIS_LNC001643)". The record is from RNAcentral. Lineage: Eukaryota; Viridiplantae; Streptophyta; Magnoliopsida; Poales; Poaceae.